UCCUCUUUCGUUCUCCCUAACUCCACACACGAAUUUUCAAAUUUUUUUGAAUUUCUCUUCCAAAAAUUCUUCGAUUCCACACACAUAAUUCACUCACACACUCUCCGAUUCUUAUUUUGUGUUGGUAUUGACAGGGAGGCUAGAGAAUCAAGCCAACCUCUACAAAAUCUACUCAUUCAAGGCACGCCCACAAGGUGUUCGACAAAUUGCUCCAACCAAGUUUGGGGGUCGAUUCUCGUCUAAUUUUUACCGGCACCCAUUCUUGAGCCCGUACCCGAGCUUUCCGAUGAGGACGAGCGUGAGAGAGCGAGAGAGGAGCACCCCGAUCACAUCGACUCCGAAUAAAUCAGGUGUUUUCUAUCCUUAAACUUUGUGCUAAUUUCGUUGUGGGCAACGAAAAUUUUAAGUUUGGGGGUGAAAAACAUGUUAUUUUUGUGCUUAUUUGUUUUAGUUUGCAUGCAUUAGGUUUUAUUCAUUUUUAUUGUUUUUCUCGUUUUUCCGGAAUAAUUAAAAAAAAAAAAAAAAAAAAAAUUGCUUGAGUCGAAUGCAUCGAUGAUUUAUGAUGAUGAGAGAUGAUCAAUGUUUGAUGAUGAGAUUGCUUGUUUUGUGUGAUAAG
RNAcentral lists this long non-coding RNA (616 nucleotides) under Erythranthe guttata (spotted monkey flower). RNAcentral describes it as "long non-coding RNA (EGUT_LNC001679)". The record is from RNAcentral. Lineage: Eukaryota; Viridiplantae; Streptophyta; Magnoliopsida; Lamiales; Phrymaceae.